RNAcentral lists this long non-coding RNA (258 nucleotides) under Capsella rubella. RNAcentral's name for it is "long non-coding RNA (CRUB_LNC004760)". The record is from RNAcentral. Lineage: Eukaryota; Viridiplantae; Streptophyta; Magnoliopsida; Brassicales; Brassicaceae.
UUGCGUCUAUAUUCAAAGUGAUGUCCUCGGUGACCACCAUCGAUCUUUGAUCGCUCUCUCAAAUGAUAUGGGGAUAUCCUCUUAAGCCUUGAAAAUAUAUAUAGAUGAGAAACGUAGUUUACUCCCAUAUUCUCAAAUCUUAUUCGUAUUUCAGCCCAUAUAUGUACAUUCUUAUUAAAAAAGAAAAUAAAAAAUACAACGAUUUGCCAAAAAUAAAUAAAAUAUCUUAAGCUGAAUAAUAAGUGUAUACUACAUUAA